Molecule: ribosomal RNA, 253 nt
Filed under: uncultured bacterium
Lineage: Bacteria
Description: partial 16S ribosomal RNA
Rfam family: Bacterial small subunit ribosomal RNA
Source: RNAcentral
UACGUAGGCAGCGAGCGUUGUUCGGAGUUACUGGGCGUAAAGGGUGUGUAGGCGGUUUUCUAAGUUUGGUGUGAAAUCUCCCGGCUCAACCGGGAGGGUGCGCCGAAAACUGGGAGACUAGAGUGCGGGAUGGGAGAGUAGAAUUCCUGGUGUAGCGGUGAAAUGCGUAGAUAUCAGGAGGAACACCUGCGGUGUAGACGGCUUUCUGGACCAUUGUUGACGCUGAGACACGAAAGCGUGGGUAGCAAACAGG